RNAcentral lists this ribosomal RNA (237 nucleotides) under Triticum aestivum (bread wheat). RNAcentral's name for it is "partial small subunit ribosomal RNA". The record is from RNAcentral. Lineage: Eukaryota; Viridiplantae; Streptophyta; Magnoliopsida; Poales; Poaceae.
AUGUAUCAAAACCGAAAAGUUGUUUUCUGGAACAUGCGCGGUCUUAACAAUGGGGCCAAACACACGGCGGUCCGUUCUGUCAUCUCAGCUGCUUCUCCAUGCAUAGUUUGUCUUCAAGAGACGAAGCUCUCCAAUGUUACCCCCCAAAUCGUCACAGAAACUUUGGGAGGGGCCUUCUAGGACUUCUACUUCCUCCCCACUGAUGGCACCCGCAGUGGCAUCCUUCUCGCGUGGUAG